CCUACGGGAGGCAGCAGUGGGAAAUAUUGCACAAUGGGGGAAACCCUGAUGCAGCCAUGCCGCGUGUGUGGAGAAGCCCUUCGGGUUGUAAAGCACUUUCAGCGAGGAGGAAAGGUUGGUAGCUAAUACCUGCCAGCUGUGACGUUACUCGCAGAAGAAGCACCCGCUAACUCCGUGCCAGCAGCCGCGGUAAUA
RNAcentral lists this ribosomal RNA (195 nucleotides) under uncultured Aeromonas sp. Its description in RNAcentral is "partial 16S ribosomal RNA". It matches the Rfam family "Bacterial small subunit ribosomal RNA", at positions 338 to 525 of the family's 1533-position model. The record is from RNAcentral. Lineage: Bacteria; Pseudomonadati; Pseudomonadota; Gammaproteobacteria; Aeromonadales; Aeromonadaceae.